ACUAGCAAAUAACUGCAAAAAAAAAAAUAUCUCCUAAUCCAAGCGCUCAGCAGGCCGAUUUGGAAAGAUUUCAACACUGUCCCUUGAUUUAAUUUAACUGAAAUAAGACACUUUUUCGACAACAUGCAGCCAGAAUUUUGCUCGACCACAUCGUCAGUAGUGCACAUAAAAAAUAGUUGCACGUAUUUUGGUAAAAGCCGCGAACAGAAAAGCAGCUACAGAAAACGAAACUACAACCCGAAACGGAAACUAAAACGCGACCAGACAAUAAAAAAGUGAAAAACGCUAUGCAAAUGGCCCUUUCCCGCCGCUUCUGCACUGCCAAGUGCAUGAGAAAAUAUGUAAAACAGAAACUGGACGAUGACAAGCUAGAGAAUGGAAACCGAAAACGUGAAUCCCUAGGUGCCAUGGCCAUCGGACGUGGGUGAAGAGAGACCACUGCAGUGCGGUGGUCCUCACGCGACGGAAUGGUGGAGGGGAUCCAAAGUAUCCCCCAAUAAUAAAUUGGAAAAGUGCUAAAUUUAAUAAAAUUCUUAUUUUCAGAGAGCCUGUCUAAGGCCAUAUAAGUCCCAGCGCAACCAGACUCGCUCAUGGCACUCACACCAGCAAGAGCUCCAGCUCAGACACCCACUCCGGCACACACCCAUCUACACACACACACUACCUAAAACAACAACCAACAAGGGUCACAACUGAUGUGCGGUUUUGGUUUUAUGGCUUACGGCUUUGAUUGCUGUCAUCGCUCAAUUGAUUUUUCACUAAUGCCGUCAAUUGGCAAACGCAAAACCGAAAUAAAAGUGAAAUGCAAAGCAUUAAAAACAACAGAACUUAAACGCCAAAAUAAAUAAUUUGUCGAACAGUGACGUGCGUGUGCGAUUUUGAGGCAAACAAUACAUA
Molecule: unclassified non-coding RNA, 897 nt
Filed under: Drosophila yakuba
Lineage: Eukaryota; Metazoa; Arthropoda; Insecta; Diptera; Drosophilidae
Description: GE27477
Source: RNAcentral